This 806-nucleotide long non-coding RNA is filed under the name Diabrotica virgifera virgifera (western corn rootworm). Its description in RNAcentral is "uncharacterized LOC126879195". The record is from RNAcentral. Lineage: Eukaryota; Metazoa; Arthropoda; Insecta; Coleoptera; Chrysomelidae.
AACAUUGAAUAUUAUUUGAUAUUAUUCUAUCAGGUUCUUAUGGUUUUAGAUCAUUUUAGUUGUUGUACAAAGAUUAAUUUAACAUUUUCUCUGGAAGUAUUAAUUUAGAAAGAUAAUAUGCCUCAUUGGUGUUGUGUUUUGAAGUGUGAAAUGCAAAGUAAUCGUGAUAAAGUUAGCUUUUACCACUUACCAUCAGUGCUACAUUCUAAGCACAAAACUCAACCAAUUUAACUAAAUAAGUUAUAGUUAUCAUCUGAGAGACAACAACAAUGGUAAAAUGCAAUAAAAUAUUAAGAUUUUACUAGCAAAAUGGAAAUUCCCCUGUAAUCAUCUUAUAUCUGGUAAGUUACAACAUUUGAACAUUAACCAUUUUUGAAGAUGUUAACAGUCUAAUCUUGUAGGAAAACCAGCCGACUUAACUGAUAAUAACAAUCCAGAUUGGGUUCCUUCAAUACAUAUGGGGUAUAUAAACACAAUGAAAUGAGUUCCCCAAAAUCUAAAAUGGGAAUUAAGGUACCAAAGGAGAAUUAAAAGAAAAGGGUACCUACAAGAAAAAAUUGCUUUUUUAUUCCUCUUGAAAUGAUUUAUAAGACACUGGACUGUCUUAUAUUCUACAAAUACUAGAAUCAGCUGAGAGAAGUGGUCUACAAAAACCCAGGAAGGAAACGGAAUAUGUGGCUACGAAAGGCAAAAGAAAGGUUUACAAAGCAAAUGUGACACAUUUUUUUGAAAUAUUUAGGAAUAUCAGUAAAUUGCAUUAAAAAAAUGUAUGAAAAGAUUUUGUUCAAUAAAAAUGUUUAUAUUUA